Molecule: long non-coding RNA, 441 nt
Filed under: Cricetulus griseus (Chinese hamster)
Lineage: Eukaryota; Metazoa; Chordata; Mammalia; Rodentia; Cricetidae
Description: lncRNA (ENSCGRG00015034443.1)
Source: RNAcentral
CAGAAUUGCAGCUUCCUGCGGGAGCUGCAGAGACAGUAACCAGAAACAGAGGCCGCCAGAAGAGAUCCAACCCAGCUGCUGCCACCCAGGAAGAAAUCCUAUAUGCUUCAGUGGAGAAAAUGAAACCUGAGGAUGGUGUCAAACUGGACAGUUUGGCUGCUGAAUCCAAAGAGCCCCGAGAUGUGGUCUAUGCCCAGCUGUGCAGCAGGUCACUCAGACAGGGGACAGCUGGACCUCCUCCCUCCCAGGCAGGAGAAGCCCCAGAGGAGCCCACUGUAUAUGCUGCUCUGGCCGUCACUCGACCAAGUCCUGUUCCCAAUAACAAGGAGCAAUGACCCUCUGCCUGCCAGGAGGCCUACAAAACCUCCGAGGGAUUCUGUGGACUUUUGGGAACCUGGCUGCAUUUUAACUAAUGUUAUACCAUUUGGAAAUAAAGCAGAU